ACCUGGCUGGCUCAGUCAGUAGAGCAUGUGACUUUUGAUCUCAGGUUUGUGACUUCAAGCCCCACGUUGGGUG
Non-coding RNA from Ailuropoda melanoleuca (giant panda), 73 nucleotides. The record is from Rfam. NCBI's taxonomy places the organism in Eukaryota, Metazoa, Chordata, Mammalia, Carnivora, Ursidae.